GCAGACCGGCGCAUUUCAGAGUCAGCGACUAGCGGAUACCCAUGGGCUCCGGGCUAUUGUACCACCGAGAGGUGUAAACCCAACUGGAGUUUGCUGAAGGCAAGCUUCCAAGUUCCUACUUCAGAAGCUUUCUUUCCUGCCAACUUGUGAAGAAGGUGCUUGCUUCCCCUUCUGCCAUGAUUGUAAGUUUCCUGAGGCCUCCUCAGCCAUGUGGAACGCAGAUCAAAGCCAGAGAUGAGGUGACAUACACCUAAGAUAUUCAAACUCCAGCUUGAAGGUCAAUUGGAUCUGCCGACAUAUGUUGCUGAUUUUGUAACAUGAAAGCCAGCUAAGAAAAACAGAUCAGUGAAAUGCAUAUUCUUCGUAUUCUUAAUUUCAGCCCUAUCCAAAUGUUUACAGAAUAGUUUGAAGAGAUUUGCAGUUUCUUGUUAUCAGUCUUAUUAAGCCUUGGCAAACCUUUAAUAACAAGUCUAUCAACAACCCACCAGGGAUUUGAUUUUAGUCUUGGAGUGCCUGAAUUUUUACGCUAUUGAACAAUUUUUAAUUGGAAGCACCGGGACCUUUUCUGAUCAGUUGUCCACGUUGCCUCAUGAAUGGGUGGCAUUCAUGCUCAGCUUGAAAAGGCAAUGGCAGCUGGGGAAAAAAAUAAGGCUUUGUGUAAGCCGAGAAGAGGGCAGGCAGGCAGGCAAACAGCAAGAUUCCCCUAGAAGUAGCUUUAGUGUGGGUGUUUUAAGCCACACAGAAAAAAGUAAACUAGAAUAAUCACCACCUUGCACUUGUUUUAUGUUUCCAUGGUUUAACUUAAAACACUGGCACAAGGAGACAACUACCAUUCUAAAGUCAGAACCUCAGUUAAACUAGAAUUGUGGGUCAGAUCCAUGUCUGCCAACUACAUAGGACACUUGGAAGUGCAAUUUAGAAAGAGAGAAUAUAGUAGCAGUUUCCCCGCUAGUAAAUCCUACACACCCGUGCCAGGUUAAUUUUAUCAUGGUUAUUAGAAUGUCAAAACCUUCAAGGAUUUCCAUCUGCUCUUAGAGUAAAAUACCAACUUCUACAUUUGUGUUUCAAAGCUCUCUCUAAAAUAACCAAUCCUACACAUCCAGUUCUGCAUGAGAGUCAGGGCUCUGAAGCCAGAUUAUCUGGGCUCAAAUUCCACCUCCAUCAUUUACCAAGUUGUAUCACCUUGCACAAGUCACUUAACCUCUGUGUGCCUUUGUCUUCUCCUUGUAAAAUGCAGAUUAAAAUAUUGCCUCUAUUACAUGAUUGUUAUGAAGAUUAACUAAGUUAAUAUGUGAAUGUUCUUAAACUGGCCUAAAACUUAGUGAGAAUAAGCACAUAUAAAUGCUUGAGUAAGGGAUGUCCCACUGUACUACAGUGCAUUAUGUUCCUUCCUUUCUCUCUCUACUCAUGGUUUUCUGUCUACUUAAAAUUCUUUGCAAGGUUAGAAAUGGAAGUAGUCAGAAACCAGAAAGCUAGCCAGAAUGAAAAUCACUGAAGCAGAAAGACUAGAUUGUCCUUCCAGAAGAAGGAUCUGUUCAGAAUUCUCCCAGAACUUUCCAGCCUCUAUACAUUUGCUUAUUUAGUUCUCCUUUUCUGGUAUGCCUUUCCUUCUUCUAUCUAUUCAAAACCUACUCAGUCUUUCAAAAUCAAGAUGGAAUUCUCUGUGAUGCCUUUCUCAAAUGCUUUGGACUUACUCAUGUUUUCAUGAACUGUAUCUCCUAUUGAUCUGCCAUUUUUUGGUCCUUAAUUAUAUACCAAUUUGUGUUGCAAAUUAAUAUUUGCUUUCAUAUUAGUCUUAUUUCCCCCAAAUAGAUGGUUAGCUUAUCAAGCACAAGAGCAGAGAUUUAUCUUAUAUCUCGUGUGGAGCUGAGCUUAAAGAUGUGUAUGUUUGCUUACCAAGAAUGGCACUGAAUUACAACGAAUGAUGAAAAGUUAUAAUCAUGGAAUAGACGGGAGCAGAGACGAAAUGUUCAAGCC
Homo sapiens (human) is the source of this 1977-nucleotide long non-coding RNA. NCBI's taxonomy places the organism in Eukaryota, Metazoa, Chordata, Mammalia, Primates, Hominidae. The record is from Ensembl.